RNAcentral lists this ribosomal RNA (418 nucleotides) under Salmonella enterica subsp. enterica serovar Enteritidis. RNAcentral describes it as "bacterial LSU rRNA". It matches the Rfam family "Bacterial large subunit ribosomal RNA", at positions 476 to 897 of the family's 2925-position model. The record is from RNAcentral. Lineage: Bacteria; Pseudomonadati; Pseudomonadota; Gammaproteobacteria; Enterobacterales; Enterobacteriaceae.
CUGACUGACCGAUAGUGAACCAGUACCGUGAGGGAAAGGCGAAAAGAACCCCGGCGAGGGGAGUGAAAAAGAACCUGAAACCGUGUACGUACAAGCAGUGGGAGCACCCUUUGGGUGUGACUGCGUACCUUUUGUAUAAUGGGUCAGCGACUUAUAUUCUGUAGCAAGGUUAACCGAAUAGGGGAGCCGGAGGGAAACCGAGUCUUAACCGGGCGUUAAGUUGCAGGGUAUAGACCCGAAACCCGGUGAUCUAGCCAUGGGCAGGUUGAAGGUUGGGUAACACUAACUGGAGGACCGAACCGACUAAUGUUGAAAAAUUAGCGGAUGACCUGUGGCUGGGGGUGAAAGGCCAAUCAAACCGGGAGAUAGCUGGUUCUCCCCGAAAGCUAUUUAGGUAGCGCCUCGUGAAUUCAUCUCC